UCUAAGUCGGGUCCUCGGGUCAUGCUAUUUAUGCGACAGCAUUUUGAGCCAUUGAAAUUGGCUUCAAACGGCAUCAUUUCAUCUCUUUUAUUAUAAAAACAAAACCCUAAAAAAAAAGAAAACGAGGAAAAGAAUGAAACAACUUAGUUCCUAUUCAGCCGAUCUCACAAUUCCUGCAUUCGAUCGUUCCUACGCACUAUAAAUGGUGAUUGGCGACUAGCAAAGGUGCCAUGAGAGGCCAAAGCCCUGCUUUGGCUUCAAAAUCCCAUCUUUACUUCGACUGCAGCGAAGAAGAUGGGCUUCUAUCAUUAAGGUAAAUUCUUUUCUCUUCUCCUUCUUUAAACUCAUAUCAAAAUAAAAGAAAAUGAAUCAAAAACGAAAAAAAAAAAGAGGGAAAAAAUGGAAAUCACCUUUAAUCUUUCUAAAUAUUUUCUCAAGAGUAUGUAUGUGUUUUUUAUUUCUCUCAAAAGAUCCCCCCUUUUUACAGAUUACCUUCGGUUUUAUAGCCGAAUCUACAAAAUAAAAAUACAAUGGCCCUAGAUUUUCUGUUAUACAUUUGCUGUCAUUUGUUGGAUAUCUGCUGUGUGCUCUUUUUGUUGCAAGUGUGUACGACGUGGUGAUGCUGACAUAGCAAGGCCGUUCGUGGGGUGUGACGCGAAGUCUUCUAGAAGCUUCACUGUUUGGGGCUGCUGAUGGUGUUUGCGGUGCAUGGGAACUGCGGCCUGGUAGCCUAGGGUUUCCACUUGCUGAAAAUAGUUAAUGGGCUAUGUUUUUGGGUUAGGUUAUUGGGCUGUGUAAUGAGUUAAGAUUAGGUUUAAUUUAGGUUUGGAUUUGGGCUUCAAUUGUAUGCGGGUUGAAUGUAAAUUUGGACUAUGGACAUUUAUUGGAUUUUUAUUUUGUGAUUUUUGUUUUUUAAUUUCUAGUUUUUUUUAAAUUUUAACGGGCCCGGCCAAAAUGAGCCUAUUACAAUAUAUACACAAAAUCUUAUACUAAUUUAUUUGAAAAUGCC
Molecule: long non-coding RNA, 1009 nt
Filed under: Gossypium barbadense (sea-island cotton)
Lineage: Eukaryota; Viridiplantae; Streptophyta; Magnoliopsida; Malvales; Malvaceae
Description: long non-coding RNA (GBAR_LNC004258)
Source: RNAcentral